UUCUAAAAAACCAAAACCACAUAGCACUAUACAUUCCAUCAUAAAUAUUUUAUCAGCAAAUAUUUAUGGGCAUCCACUAUAUGCCAGGUUUGUAAUAUGAAGAUUUUUAAAGGAGAGAUAGAAGUUGCUAUGGGGAUCGUAAUAAAGAGUCUAACCAAAUCUCUCUCUUUUUAAUAAAUAUGGCAAGGAGUGGAGGCAAGUUAUUGGAAAAAGCUGGAAGAAGAAGCCCUCAGGGAAUUAACAGUAAAAUGCCAGGAUGGGCCAUUUCAGUUGAGAAAAGUUUUGAAGAGUACCGGGCAGAUAUUGUGGAGGACAUCCCUUAGUAUGGUUAUAGAUGAUGUUUUCCUCAGAUUAGACUGGAGCGAUCUGUUCUUGGGAUGAAGACCACAGAGGCAACAGAAACAAUCUUUGUCCAACCAGCAAAAGAGGGAUUUGGAGAAAGAAAAUGAAGCAGCUUAUGGAACAGAAGGUCAGGAGAGUCCCAAGAAGAAGGAUCAUAUCUGGUUUCCUCUUCUGCCUCUCCCCAUGGUGUCUAGGAGAGUGCACACUC
RNAcentral lists this long non-coding RNA (550 nucleotides) under Homo sapiens (human). Its description in RNAcentral is "HSALNT0370285". Lineage: Eukaryota; Metazoa; Chordata; Mammalia; Primates; Hominidae. The record is from RNAcentral.